Molecule: long non-coding RNA, 1109 nt
Filed under: Nicotiana tabacum (common tobacco)
Lineage: Eukaryota; Viridiplantae; Streptophyta; Magnoliopsida; Solanales; Solanaceae
Description: long non-coding RNA (NTAB_LNC004430)
Source: RNAcentral
AACAACUGAACUAUUUAUACUGAUCUAAGGCAAGACAAAUUAAUUACAUUUCUAACAUUUACAAAUCUGGCGAAUCAUAAUACAAUCAUCAAGAGGGAUAACAAACAUGAAUCCUUAAAUAUUUACAUGCAUUGUUCAUAAAGCUAAUUAAACUGAAAAGGACAUAACCAAUAUUGUGUUUAAACCCCUUCCAUGGAUGACUCCAAAUCCACCUUUUAGACUUAAAUUCACCAAUCUGAUCCAACUGGUGGUCAAAUCUGCAAGCCAUAGCCAUGUAGCCAGCACUAAGCCCUCUCAAACUCAACAAAAAUCCGCUUACUUCAACAAAACCACUCUAUAGUAAAACCUUUUGAUUAAUACUGAUUCUGCAAGGUUCAAACAAGCCUGAAACUAUAGAAAAUUUAAUAGUUGACAUUACAUACUCCAAGUGUUGUUAAUAGCUAUCUACACUAACAUUUAGAAUUAAGCAAUCUUGGUCACUUUCCAACUUACAAUCAGCUAGUUUAUACCUGAAAUAUCAACUCUAAAACAGACCCAAAUCACAACAUAGUCAAGCUGAACAUGAGAUAGUUCGACAACUCUCAAGGUAACCACACUAAUUCAAGUGACCAAAUAGUAGAGCAAAAGGAUUCUGAUUUUCCUUUAUUUCAAAGCCAAACAAACAGAAGAAACACACAUGAGUUAAUUAAGUCAAGGGCUGUUAGUUUACACAAUAAGCAUAAGGGAAUGAUGAUGGAAAAUCAGAAUUUUUCAUGGAACAAGUAAAGAAAUCAACUUAUUCAUGUCAAAAUAAACUCAAAUUUAAGGUAAAUACCUGAUUACAGCAAGAUAGACAAAUAGAAAAUAAAUCUCUUGCUUUGGAGAAGAAGUAAAGAAAACUAUAAAUAGUAAAACAACAGCAGCAGACCAAUAGCAGCAAAACCAGAGUAAGUUGAGCUAAAUGAUCUUUUUAAUAAUAGAAAUAGUAAACCAUCCCAACAAAGAACUAUUUUAUGUUUCUAAAUAUAGCUUUGAGACCCAGAAAAAGGAAAGAAAUCAGUAGGAAAAUGGAGGUGCUUUUUCCAGAAUUCCUUGUAUUCAAAGAGGCUUUUAGAGUGCAUAUGCUGCUG